Molecule: ribosomal RNA, 253 nt
Filed under: uncultured bacterium
Lineage: Bacteria
Description: partial 16S ribosomal RNA
Rfam family: Bacterial small subunit ribosomal RNA
Source: RNAcentral
UACGAAGGGGGCUAGCGUUGUUCGGAUUUACUGGGCGUAAAGCGCACGUAGGCGGAUCGUUAAGUUAGGGGUGAAAUCCCGAGGCUCAACCUCGGAACUGCCUUUAAUACUGGCGAUCUCGAGUCCGAGAGAGGUGAGUGGAAUUCCUAGUGUAGAGGUGGAAUUCGUAGAUAUUAGGAAGAACACCAGUGGCGAAGGCGGCUCACUGGCUCGGUACUGACGCUGAGGUGCGAAAGCGUGGGGAGCAAACAGG